AUGGAGGGAGAGAAACAACUAGUUUGGCAUGGGAAGAAUUCAGAGUUCUCCAUGUACGAUUACGAACAGGUACAAGACGCCACAAAUAAUUUUUCAGACGGAAACAAACUUGGACUAGGUGGCUUUGGCACUGUCUACAAGGGCCAGUUUCGUGAGGGAUUGGAGAUAGCAGUAAAGAGACUGGCUUCACAUUCAGGACAAGGUUUCAUAGAGUUCAAAAAUGAAGUCCAACUCAUAGCCAAACUGCAGCACACGAAUUUGGUUAGGCUCUUGGGAUGUUGCUCUCAAGAAGAUGAGAAAAUAUUGAUAUAUGAGUACUUGCCAAACAAAAGCUUGGAUUUCUUCAUCUUUGAUGAAAAUAAAAGAGCUUUGUUGGAUUGGUCCCAACUUGUAGCAAUAAUCGAAGGAGUGGCACAUGGACUUCUUUACUUACAUAAGCACUCCCAGUUGCGUGUCAUACAUAGAGAUCUUAAGACAAGCAACAUUCUCUUGGACAGUGAGAUGAAUCCAAAAAUUUCAGAUUUCGGGCUAGCAAAAAUAUUUGACUCAAAUAAGCCAGAAGGGAACAAUACAAGGAGAGUGGUUGGCACAUAUGGCUAUAUGGCUCCUGAGUAUGCUGCAGAAGGUAUCUUAUCUAUUAAAUCCGAUGUCUUCAGCUUUGGUGUUGUCGUUCUUGAGAUCCUUAGCGGAAAGCGGAAUUCUGGUAGCAAACAGUGUGGAGAUUUCAUCAAUCUUCUUGGAUAUGCAUGGCAAUUAUGGGAAGAGGAAAGAUGGAUUGAUCUCAUCCAUGUGUCAUUGGUUCCUGAGAGUCACUCAACAAAGCUGAUGAGGUGCAUGAAUAUAGCAUUGCUUUGUGUACAAGAGAAUGUAGCUGAUCGACCAACCAUGCCAGAUAUUGUUGGAAUGCUAAGCAGUGAGACAAUGAUCAUAACUCAGCCUAAGCAACCAGCAUAUUUCAAUGUAAGGGUUGGAAAUGAAGAGGCCCUGACUCCACUUGAGUCAUGCAGUAUUAAUGAUAUGAUAGUCAUGUCAUGUGUUUUUUACUGCCCGGUGAAGUAUUCAUGA
This 1065-nucleotide ribosomal RNA is filed under the name Triticum aestivum (bread wheat). RNAcentral's name for it is "partial small subunit ribosomal RNA". The record is from RNAcentral. Lineage: Eukaryota; Viridiplantae; Streptophyta; Magnoliopsida; Poales; Poaceae.